Molecule: ribosomal RNA, 501 nt
Filed under: uncultured bacterium
Lineage: Bacteria
Description: bacterial SSU rRNA
Rfam family: Bacterial small subunit ribosomal RNA
Source: RNAcentral
AACAACGCUGGCGGCGUGCUAAGCAUGCAAGUUGAGCGCGAAAGCCCUUCGGGGGCGAGUAGAGCGGCGGACGGGUGAGUAAUACAUGGAUAAUCUGCCCUCGAGAUCGGGAUAACCCUGCGAAAGUGGGGCUAAUACCGGAUAAGACCACACAACACAAGUUGUGUGGUAAAAGGUGGCUUGAAUUUAUUCUAGCUAUCACUUGAGGAUGAGUCCAUGGCCUAUCAGCUAGUUGGUGAGGUAAUGGCCCACCAAGGCUAUGACGGGUAGCUGGUCUGAGAGGACAACCAGCCACACUGGGACUGAGACACGGCCCAGACUCCUACGGGAGGCAGCAGUGGGGAAUAUUGGGCAAUGGGCGAAAGCCUGACCCAGCGACGCCGCGUGGGUGAUGAAGGCCUUCGGGUUGUAAAGCCCUUUCGUGCGGAAAGAAUUAUCCCGUAGUUAAUAUCUACGGGAUUUGACGGUACCGCAGGAAGAAGCACCGGCUAACUCCGUGCC